UGCCUGCCCAGUGACAAUUGUUUAACGGCCGCGGUAUCCUGACCGUGCAAAGGUAGCAUAAUCAUUUGUUCCUUAAAUAGGGACUUGUAUGAAUGGCCACACGAGGGUUUAACUGUCUCUUACUUCCUAUCAGUGAAAUUGACCUUUCCGUGAAGAGGCGGAAAUAAACAAAUUAGACGAGAAGACCCUAUGGAGCUUCAAUUUAUCUAUACCAACAGAAUAACUUUAUACCCAUCAAGGACUAACACUUAUUCUAACUGGUUAGAAAAUUUCGGUUGGGGUGACCUCGGAGUAUAAAUUAACCCCCGAGAAGAAUUACUAAGACUGACAAGUCAAAGUUUCAAAUAUUAAUUGAUCCAGUCUAACUGAUCAACGAAACAAGUUACCCUAGGGAUAACAGCGCAAUCCUAUUCUAGAGUCCUUAUCGACAAUAGGGUUUACGACCUCGAUGUUGGAUCAGGACAUCCUAAUGGUGC
RNAcentral lists this ribosomal RNA (476 nucleotides) under Parablarinella griselda (Indochinese short-tailed shrew). RNAcentral describes it as "partial 16S ribosomal RNA". It matches the Rfam family "Bacterial large subunit ribosomal RNA", at positions 1856 to 2556 of the family's 2925-position model. The record is from RNAcentral. Lineage: Eukaryota; Metazoa; Chordata; Mammalia; Eulipotyphla; Soricidae.